RNAcentral lists this transfer RNA (78 nucleotides) under Sinorhizobium medicae. RNAcentral's name for it is "tRNA-Met". It matches the Rfam family "tRNA". Rfam says of the family: Transfer RNA (tRNA) molecules are approximately 80 nucleotides in length. Their secondary structure includes four short double-helical elements and three loops (D, anti-codon, and T loops). The record is from RNAcentral. Lineage: Bacteria; Pseudomonadati; Pseudomonadota; Alphaproteobacteria; Hyphomicrobiales; Rhizobiaceae.
UGCCGGCGUAGAGCAGCCCGGUAGCUCGCCAGCCUCAUAAGCUGGAGGUCGCAGGUUCGAAUCCUGUCGCCGCAACCA